This 514-nucleotide ribosomal RNA is filed under the name uncultured bacterium. RNAcentral describes it as "partial 16S ribosomal RNA". It matches the Rfam family "Bacterial small subunit ribosomal RNA", at positions 28 to 523 of the family's 1533-position model. The record is from RNAcentral.
GAUGAACGCUGGCGGCGUGCCUAAUACAUGCAAGUCGAGCGAACAGAUGAGAAGCUUGCUUCUCUGAUGUUAGCGGCGGACGGGUGAGUAACACGUGGGUAACCUACCUAUAAGACUGGGAUAACUCCGGGAAACCGGGGCUAAUACCUGAUAAUAUUUUGAACCGCAUGGUUCAAUAGUGAAAGGCGGCUUCGGCUGUCACUUAUAGAUGGACCCGCGCCGUAUUAGCUAGUUGGUAAGGUAAUGGCUUACCAAGGCGACGAUACGUAGCCGACCUGAGAGGGUGAUCGGCCACACUGGAACUGAGACACGGUCCAGACUCCUACGGGAGGCAGCAGUAGGGAAUCUUCCGCAAUGGGCGCAAGCCUGACGGAGCAACGCCGCGUGAGUGAUGAAGGUUUUCGGAUCGUAAAACUCUGUUGUUAGGGAAGAACAAAUUUGUUAGUAACUGAACAAGUCUUGACGGUACCUAACCAGAAAGCCACGGCUAACUACGUGCCAGCCGCCGCAGUAA